RNAcentral lists this ribosomal RNA (425 nucleotides) under uncultured bacterium. RNAcentral's name for it is "partial 16S ribosomal RNA". It matches the Rfam family "Bacterial small subunit ribosomal RNA", at positions 354 to 796 of the family's 1533-position model. The record is from RNAcentral.
GUGGGGAAUCUUGCGCAAUGGGCGAAAGCCUGACGCAGCCAUGCCGCGUGAAUGAUGAAGGUCUUAGGAUUGUAAAAUUCUUUCACCGGGGACGAUAAUGACGGUACCCGGAGAAGAAGCUCCGGCUAACUUCGUGCCAGCAGCCGCGGUAAUACGAAGGGGGCUAGCGUUGCUCGGAAUUACUGGGCGUAAAGGGCGCGUAGGCGGACAUUUAAGUCAGGGGUGAAAUCCCGGGGCUCAACCUCGGAACUGCCUUUGAUACUGGGUGUCUUGAGUAUGAGAGAGGUGUGUGGAACUCCGAGUGUAGAGGUGAAAUUCGUAGAUAUUCGGAAGAACACCAGUGGCGAAGGCGACACACUGGCUCAUUACUGACGCUGAGGCGCGAAAGCGUGGGGAGCAAACAGGAUUAGAUACCCUAGUAGUCC